UUUUUUUUAGAUAUUUUCUAAUCAACCUCUUCAGAGAUGUUUUUACAAAGCUCUGGAGCAGUUGGGACUUUAACCUGGGUCUCCUGGCUCAGAGGUAGAGAAUCUACCAGUGCAUCACAAGAAUCCUCAUUCAUCUUUUAAGAAGGUGCUAAUGUACAUCAGCUGCUGUAUUUGAUGUCAUUCUGGUAGGUAUGUAGGUGGCCGCUAGGCACUGCCUGCGAUAGGCAGAGAAUAUACAACCAUUGUGGUUAAAGUUCUUUCGAGCAAAAUAAGAGGAUUAGAAAAGGACAGAAAUGGAAUUGGCUGAGAUUUUGUAUGCAUUUUAUCUAAAUAUGCACAUAGAUAGCGGCUGUUUGGAGCAGAUCCUGGAGGUAAGUUAGUUCUCCUUGACUAUCAGUUAGAAAAAAAAGUUAUCAUUUUGCUCUGUGCAGGAGUUCACAUUUCUGACCCAAUGAUGUUUUAAUUUGCCUGGAUCUGUCUUCCCUAUGGAUCAGACCCUGCAGCACUCACUGCCUAAGCAGUGAAAAAGAAUUCGGGUAGGAGGGGGUCAACCCUAGACUUCAAGAUAAUCUGCAUAAUCAGUCCAGGUUUUGAGAGAUCGUAAGGAAUGUUUAUUUCAAAUGAUCCAAGCAAUGAAGAGCUUCUGUUUUGUGGAGAGACUUUGAAAGUUCUGAUUAAAUUGUCUCUGAUGUAAGAAUAAUGAUGGGACUUAGUACUGUUAUCCAAAAUCCUGAGGGGCUCUGUUACAGAGAGUGGAUAAGGGGUGGGGGAAAAACUUUCCGCUCCCAACAAGCUGCACAGAGAAAAUGGUUAAAAGUACUGGAGUGGUUAUGAGAUGUACAUUGAUUUAAUUUGGUCUUAAGUUUAUUCUUCCAGCAAUAUUUUUGUCAAAGCUUUUCAUCUUGCACUCAGUAGGCCAGUUCACAAGAAUACCAUUGUAGGCACCAAUGUACGGGGAAAUGCAACAAUUCUGCCAUAAGAGUGCACCCAUUCAUACUGAUUGAUUGACCAUUAAACGUCAGGUUUUGUUUCAAUUUUAAACCAGAUAGGCUGACAUAGUGUUCAGAGUAUCGUCCCAAGAAAUGAACCAAUAAGGGGCUGUCACCCAUUGUAUUGUACUCCUAAAGCACAACAAAAUGAGUCAUAAAGCGCAGAAACCGGCCCUUUGGUCCAACCAGUCUAUGCUGACCAUAAUCCCAAACUAAAUUGUCCCACGUGCCUGCUUCUGGCCCAUAUCACUUCAAACUUCUUCUGUUAUAGGAAGGAUAUUAUUAAGCUGGAGAGGGUUCAGAAGAGAUUUACCGGGUAUGGAAGGCUUAAGUAAUAAAGAAAGGCUGGGACUUUUAUCACUGAAGCGUAGAAGGUUGAGAGGAGCCCUUAUAGAAACUUAUAAUGUGUAGCUAGAGUCAAUGGUAGUUGUCUUCCCCUUAGGAUGGGGGAUUUCAAGACUAGGGGACACAUUUUGAAGUUGAGAGGAGACGUUUAAAAAAGACAUGAAAGGCAACUUUUUUACACAGUGGUUUGCAUGUGGAAUGCCCUUCCUGAGGAACUGAUGGAUGUGGGUGCAAUUACAAUGUUUAAAAGAGAUUUGGGCAAGUACAUGAGUAAGAAAUGUUUGGAGGGAUAUGGGCCAGGUGCAGGCAGUUGGGAUUACGUUUGGCGUGGACUGGUUAGACCGAACGAUCUGUUACCGUAUGACUCUGUUCUGACAAAAUACUUACUGCAUUUCUGAAAAAAAUUAUGCCCUGAUUAAAAUGGUGGUGGACAUGUUUUCAAAAGUAACCAUUAAAAAGCAAUUUGCAGUAUAAUCAGAAAGGAAAUGUAUGCAGGACUAUAGGAAAAAAGAAGGGAAUUGAGAGUACACAGUAUGGUGCUGGAGGAACAGCAGGCCAGGCAGCAUCACUGGGGCACGAAAGUUGACGUUUCGGAUCGGGGCCCUUUUUCAGAUUCCUGCUCCUCUGAUGCUGUCUGGCCUGCUGUGUUCCUCCAACUCCAUACUGUGUUGUCUCUGACUCCUGUAUCUGCAGUUCUUGCUAUCUUGGAAUUUGGACUAAGUGGAUAGAUCCUUCAAUGAGCCAGCACAAGCACUAUGUGCUGAGUAUCCUCCUGGGCUUUAAAAGUAUCAUUCCAACCACAGGGAGGCGAUGGUCUAGCGCUAUUAUUGAUGGACUGUUAAUUUACAGACUCAAGUAACAUUCUGGGGACUUGGGUUCAACUUCCGGCCAUGACAGAUGUGGAAUUUGAAUUCAAUUUUAAAAGUCUGGAAUUAAGAGCCUAAUGUUGGCCAUGAAUCCAUUGCUUAUUGUUGAGGUAAACCUGUCUGGUUCACUAAUGUCCUUUAUGGAAAGAAAUUGCCAUUCUUACCUGGUUUGGCCUACAUGCAACACUUUAGACACACAAUUUUGUGGGUGACUCUUAACUGCUGUCUGGGCAAUUAGGGAUAGGCAAUAAAUUCUGGCCUCGCCUGUGAAAGAAUAAUAAAAAAAAAAAGCAUUGCAGUAAUGUGGAUGUUUGGAAUCGGACCAGGUCCCUAGAACAGUAACAACUGGACGUGUGGCUAAUUGCCUGCCACGUUGGCUUACCAUUGCAGUAUCUCUUAUCAGCUGUAACACAAACCUCUUCAAUGUUUAAUGUUCUUAUUUGCUGCUCUUUCCCAAUGCCAUUUCAUCAUUUAUCGAAAGAAGCACAGUUCUUUUUUUUAAAAGAGCAGUAUGGCAAAAAAUUAUGCAAUGCUGAAAAUUCAAAACCCUUGGAAAAGAAAUCAAUAAAGGGAGUCAGCAAUGUAUGUGGGAAGGAAGUAUGUUAAUCUUUCAGGUAUGAAGCCUGAAAGAUGGUCAGUGAGUUAAAUAACAACAAAUGUAAAGGCAAUAAAGCUUUAUUUUGUGGCGGCUGUUUUAGCAACUUACUGCUUGCAUUUUCACUUUUCGUUUUGUUUCACAGAGCUCCUGUAGUAGGUGUUACUUGUGGCUCGGUGGGUAGCACCUUUUCGAGAUUGUAAUUUCAUUCCUGCUGCAGAAGCUCAAGAAGAAAGAAUCCUGGGUCAUCUGAGGACUAGAUGAAUGACCAUCUUUCUUGUUGAACGGUAAUCGCAAUAAAUAAAUGAAUAAAGAUAACACAGUGUGGAGCUGGAGGAAUGCAGCAGGCCAGGCAGCAUCAAUAAAUAUGUUUUAAUAAUCAAA
Long non-coding RNA from Rhincodon typus (whale shark), 3179 nucleotides. RefSeq lists it as uncharacterized. The transcript is spliced from 2 exons. Lineage: Eukaryota; Metazoa; Chordata; Chondrichthyes; Orectolobiformes; Rhincodontidae. The record is from RefSeq and is a predicted model, not a curated record.